RNAcentral lists this ribosomal RNA (415 nucleotides) under Mytella strigata. RNAcentral describes it as "SSU rRNA". It matches the Rfam family "Eukaryotic small subunit ribosomal RNA", at positions 580 to 997 of the family's 1831-position model. The record is from RNAcentral. Lineage: Eukaryota; Metazoa; Mollusca; Bivalvia; Mytilida; Mytilidae.
UAAUUCCAGCUCCAAUAGCGUAUAUUAAAGUUGUUGCAGUUAAAAAGCUCGUAGUUGGAUCUCGGGUCCCAGGCUUGCGGUCCGACGCACGUCGGUUACUGCUUGUCCUGACCUACCUCCCGGUUCGCCCUUGGUGCUCUUGACUGAGUGUCUCGGGUGGCCGGAACGUUUACUUUGAAAAAAUUAGAGUGUUCAAAGCAGGCAACAUCGCCUGAAUAAUGGUGCAUGGAAUAAUGGAAUAGGACCUCGGUUCUAUUUUGCUGGUUUUCGGAGCUAGAGGUAAUGAUUAAGAGGGACUGACGGGGGCAUUCGUAUUACGGUGUUAGAGGUGAAAUUCUUGGAUCGCCGUAAGACGAACUACUGCGAAAGCAUUUGCCAAGAAUGUAUUCAUUAAUCAAGAACGAAAGUCAGAGGU